Molecule: ribosomal RNA, 464 nt
Filed under: Vreelandella stevensii
Lineage: Bacteria; Pseudomonadati; Pseudomonadota; Gammaproteobacteria; Oceanospirillales; Halomonadaceae
Description: partial 16S ribosomal RNA
Rfam family: Bacterial small subunit ribosomal RNA
Source: RNAcentral
CCUAGGGUGGCAGCAGUGGGGAAUAUUGGACAAUGGGCGAAAGCCUGAUCCAGCCAUGCCGCGUGUGUGAAGAAGGCCUUCGGGUUGUAAAGCACUUUCAGUGGGGAAGAAAGCCUUGGGGCUAAUACCCUCGAGGAAGGACAUCACCCACAGAAGAAGCACCGGCUAACUCCGUGCCAGCAGCCGCGGUAAUACGGAGGGUGCGAGCGUUAAUCGGAAUUACUGGGCGUAAAGCGCGCGUAGGCGGUCUGAUAAGCCGGUUGUGAAAGCCCCGGGCUCAACCUGGGAACGGCAUCCGGAACUGUCAGGCUAGAGUGCAGGAGAGGAAGGUAGAAUUCCCGGUGUAGCGGUGAAAUGCGUAGAGAUCGGGAGGAAUACCAGUGGCGAAGGCGGCCUUCUGGACUGACACUGACGCUGAGGUGCGAAAGCGUGGGUAGCAAACAGGAUUAGAUACCCGGGUAGUC